UCCUAGCCCUGAUAGAAGUGGAAAUCCUUUUAUUUUUUUUCUUUAAAAAAAUAAAAGAUUGAAACGGAUAGCAGGAAAUAGC
Molecule: small RNA, 82 nt
Filed under: Flavobacterium pectinovorum
Lineage: Bacteria; Pseudomonadati; Bacteroidota; Flavobacteriia; Flavobacteriales; Flavobacteriaceae
Description: Flavo-1 RNA
Rfam family: Flavo-1 RNA
Source: RNAcentral